RNAcentral lists this ribosomal RNA (441 nucleotides) under Triticum aestivum (bread wheat). RNAcentral's name for it is "partial small subunit ribosomal RNA". Lineage: Eukaryota; Viridiplantae; Streptophyta; Magnoliopsida; Poales; Poaceae. The record is from RNAcentral.
AUGAAAUGGGCGCUCAGAGCAAAGGUUUCUAAGAUUGUCCGAGGGGAUGAUAACACCCAAUUCUUCCACAUAAUAGCUAAUGGGAAACAUAGAAAGAAAAAGAUAAUCCAACUAGAGCAAGAUGAGGGUACAAUUAUAGGACAUGAGAACCUAAAAUUGUACAUAUCCAAAUAUUAUAAGAAACUUUUCGGAGCACCUGAAGAUAGUUUCGUAUCUCUAGAUGAGAGUGCGAUCGGGGACAUACCUCAACUCAACUCAGAAGAGAAUGAGGUGUUGUCAGCUCUUUUCAUUGUGAAAGAGGUGUUUGAGGCAAUAAUGCAAAUGAAACAUAAUAAAGCGCCCGAGCUGGAUGGGUUCCCGGCAGAAUUUUAUCAAAAAUGUUGGCAUAUCAUAAAGCAAGAUCUUAUGCCUAUGUUCCAUGAUUUGUUCAUGGCCACUUGA